AGCGAAAUGGUUUGUUGAUGCAAAGGUUUAAACUUUUAAGAUUUACACUGCAGGGUAGUUGGAUGCUGUAUAGUCGAACGGCCACCAACAUCAAGAACUAUAACUCCAAGACCGGGUUUGCAUUAAUUCAAUCAGCUGAAAUAAUGAUGCAAAUGACACUAUCAGCUGGACUUAGAGACCAGUCAGAUCAAUCAUCCUUUUAUCAACAGUUAAUGUCAUGAUGGUGUCUAUCGGAGGAAACAAAGGAUGUGUCGGAAUCAAUAUGAACAGUGAGAAGAAUGAGAGGAGCUUUGAUUAUAAGUAGGCUCAAUGAACUCAUGCUGGUAAGUGGUAAUUAAAGAAAUUUGUGCGCUUAGUAGCAUUCAAUAUUUUCUGUUUGGGAUAUAGUUGAUGAGUUGAUACUCUGAUUAAGAAGCCUGAUUAUAGUAGCUGACUUUUUUUUUGUGGUUUGCUGUUGUUUAUUCUUUCGAUUAAUUUCAACAUUAGGUUGAUCUGUUGAAGAACAAACUUGGGUUUGAUUAUGCUUUAACUACAAGGAAGAGCCAGACUUGGAUGCAGGCGUUCAGCUUUUAAUGGGUAAGAACAAAUGUAUGCUUUAACCAUGUUUCUCACUUAUUACAAUGCACACAUUGAAGGCAUCUGAGCUGAUCCUGAAAAUGUGAUGGAAAUACUUCUCUGUUUACAUAAAACAGACAAAUAGAGAUCUCUGAUCAUGCCUGAGAAUUCGUUGCAUUUAAAAUUUCUACCAUUGCCAAAAAUAGAAUAAACUACGGAUACAUUAGCUUAAGACUCAAUUUUGAGAAGGAAGUUUGCACAUGCAGCCUAAAAAAUCACGUCCGUGUUGUAUACUUGUAUGUUUCUUUGGGAAAUGAAAGAUUCUGUGUUCUUUUAUUUCAAGUUUGCUGAAAUCACAUUUGUUUUCUUAGAUGCUUUUGGGAAGGUAACAACAUCAAUUUCAUAAAUGCUGGGGUAAGAUGCAUCACGCAGUGCUACUCAACAUGAGAAUUCCCGGCCGCAUUACCUGUAUGUUGAGUGAUCGCACAGUACAACCUUUAGAAGCUUGUAAGGAGUAGACAACUAGAUGCGAAUAGUUUCAAUAUGGAUUCGCAUCAAAUGAUCUCUUGCCAGUGAUUACUAUAACCUCUAUCCCAAAAUUCUUGGAACUGGUCAUACCAAUAAUGAAGUAUUGUGUACGUUGAAGACGUAGCUCAAGGCCUUGCGAAAGCUCCGUCAGCCUUUGUAUUGGAAAACAGUUGGUUGUAGUUGCUUCUGAAUGAUAUUAUUAAUAGAUACUGUAAAAAUGAAGUGUGCCACUCAUUUUCAGAGCCCUGUUAAGAUGUGUUGGUAAUGUGUUUGAAGGUUGUUUGAUUUGUGUUGUAUUCAGCUAUAAAUCAAAGAUUCAGAACAUGGUUAUGUUACUGGUUUCCAAAUAAAAAAAUUGCCUUGUGAUGUUAGUGUUCAUUGUUUUCACAGGAGAUCAGGUUCCCUGUUGAUGAAUCAAGAAGGCAAACGCAUCCAUGCCUUAAGUUCAAAUGUGUCUCUUCUAUUUUCUAUUACUGACUCCUUUAUUUUGAUUUCUUCAUUGUAAUGGAAUUGGUUUUCAUUCCAAAUUAGUCAAAACCUCCUAGAGUCAUUAAGUUCUGUUAGCAUUUGAAGAUAGAACUAGAACUAAAUGAUUGACUGGAUUAAAUUCCGAUAAAGAAUUAAGUUAUGUAUUUAGAGAUAUUUUGUUUUUUUUUUCAUUUGUUCAAUUUGGUUAGUGGUGAUUUCUUAAAGACUCAAUCCAUGUGCGUUUAUGCAUUUUUCUUUUGCCUUAAUUUCUGUUUCUUGGGGAGUUUAUACAGAUUCUUAUUUUAUGCUUCACAUGCCACAUGAAAGAUCGAAGCAUUUUGUGUGAUUAGAACUGACUUGCAUCACAGUAACUUUAAACCACUGCCACAUUUUUAUAAUAACAGUCUGAGAUCUCCCUGAAGGAUUCAAAGCAUUUUAUUUUAUAUUAACCUCCUUUAAGUGGGUUUCGACACUACCACAAGUUCUUUAAAUACUAAAACGAUUUUGAGUCUUUUGUAUCAUCUGAUUGAAAUACCUGAAAGCACUCGUGGCUGCAAAAAUAUAUCGAUUUUGAGUAUGGCGUGCAUGUAAAUUAUAUCGAUUUUUUCUAUAUGACAAGUAAGACUCUCUUUUACAAUGGCACGGAUGCGUCAUUGAGUAAUCAUGAUUCUUGCUGGUAGUGCUUUGUUGUAUCAAUCUGCUAGCUAUUCAGCUUUCUUUCUUUCUUUCUUCUUUUUUUUUUUUUUUUUUUGUUUUCAAAUAGCUUGUGGUUGUAGAAAUAUUUCAAUUAAACUAUACUUAAGUACUUAUUUAGUAUAACUUCUUUACUAGCCAAAAUAAUUUUUUUUUGGUUUUUUAUAAUUUAAUUAUACUUUAACUAGAGUUUUUGGGAUUAAACAAGUGAUAAUUUCUCUCUAUUAAGAAAAACUCAAAAUUUUUUAAUUACUAGAAUGCGUCUAAAUUAAAUUACAAUUAUAGACACUAAAAUAUAGUAAAUUUUUUUUUUUACUCUUUAAAACUGUCUUUACAUUCGAUAUCAUAUUUUUUUCUUAAAAUCUAAAUUGAUAUUUUUAUUUUAUUUUUGAUUAAUCUUAGAACACAUAUAAAGUGAUUCAUAUUGAUUUUAUACUAACAAACUAUCAUAGCACAUUCGAAAAUAAUUAACUCGUUCUUAUUUGCAUAGUGAAAAAGGCAAAUAGCUCACCCAAAUGUUAAGGAACUGGAGAGCUGCUGCUGGAGACGAAAGGAUGUGAAAAGCAUGGUAAAGAAAAAUUGCAUAAUUCUCACUUAGAAGAGGAAGAAAAAAAAAAUACAAUUAGAAUGAGAGGUAGCCAGUAGCCAGUAGCCGCCACCACCACCAGUCAAACUAUUUCGACACACUAAUACUGUAAUACAUAUCAAAAUGCAAUAUCGGUCCUAACAAAAUGAAAAUAAAAAUUCAUUACGAAUAUGUGUUAAAGAUAUCCCAAGUAUUGAUGUGAUUGAAAUAUUUGAGAUUGAAGUAGAAAUAAGACUCAAAAUCAAUUGAGAGGAAUAAAUGAGAAACUCUAAUACUAAUAAAAUAUAUUCACAAAUCCUAAUGCUAAUUAAAAUCACGGAUUAAAAAAAAUAAUAUGAAUGAAUUACAGGCGCAACUGUUUCAUUAAAAAAUUAAUAAAAUCGUGUAUUAAUAUUUUGUACACAUACAUUUUUCCAUAUAUAACUUUUGGUAAUUUAGUUUUCCACUUAUCAUUUUUACUCCAAAAAAAUAAUUGAGAAUAUUAUUUAUGUUUUGGUGCAAAAUAUUUAAACAACAUAAAAAUUUUCAGUUUAAUAAAUCUAAACAAUUCUCAAGUUAUAAAUGAAUUUAAUGGGUUUAAUUAGUAAAAAUACUAUUAUUUUAUAAAUUGGGUUUAGUAAUGGUAUAUUGGGUAUUUAAAUGGGUUUGUUGAGUAAAUUUUAAAAUUUUAAAGUUCAAGGGUAGGUUUAUUUAGUAAAUGGGUUAAUGCAGCAAUUUUCAAACUAAAUUUUUGGAAAAAGAGGCUAUUGAGUUUUUUUUAAGAAAAAGAAUUAAAAUGUUGAGAAUACCUUUAUUUAAUUUUAUAAUCUAAUUUUAAAAAAUUUACCCAAUAAAUUUUAUAAUUUUUUAUAAAAAUUAUCAUUAACAUCCAAACAGCUGAAGAUUAAAAAAAAAAAAAGAAGGGAACUGUACUAGCAAAAGUUAGAUUAACAAUAAAUUUAGUCCAAAGAAUAAAGUUAUAGCUAAAAAGUGCUCCUAUCCUAUUUUUCUCUAUUUUAACAAUAAUCUUCCAAUCCAUUUUACAAUGGACUUAACAAAUGGGCUCAAUCUCUAAACUUCAUUUUCUUUUGCUAACCCAUGGCCAUUAGCCAGAAAGCCUAAAACAAUUUUAGGAUCACAUGUGUAAAUGGAACCCCAAGAUUGAUCAAGAAUUAACAAGACAAGAUGAAGAGAUGAUCUUGUAACUAAGAAUGAAGAAAUUGAAUCAAGACAGUACUCUAGUAAAACCCAGAAAACAGAGCUUGAAGAAUCACGCACAAAGCAGUAAAUUUGUAAAACCAGAAUUGGAGCUUCACUUCUCAAGAUAGACGAAACAGGAUACAAUCUAGCUUUGGUCAACUUCGUUUGGCCACGUCAUAAAGUCUUCCCCCACAGUCUUUCCCGCCAAAACAGAAAAGCUUUAAAAGCCAUUUACCCUCCUGAGUUACUUGCUCCUAUUACAUCAAGGCCCUGUAAGUCUAUAUUUAUUAUUACAAAAGCACCCUUAAACCGAGAUUUGAGAUAUUUUUUCAAAGAUCGAAGCGCAUGAUUUCACGGCUAUGUUGCAUAGUGAAUUUUAGUGCUUUACAGUUAAGGGAUAGUUUAAAUUCAUUACAAAGCAUUCGCAAAGAAAUUGUUUUUAAAUGAAACUCCUCGUCUUGACCAGAUUAUUUAUUAUUAUUAAAAAAAAAAUGUUCAAAACUUAGCCAAAGUGAUAAACUCGUAAUUAUUCUACAAAGGGAACAAUUUUGAACGGUGGGAAAUUCCAUAAUUAUGCUUUUCUGUGAAUUAUUUUAAAUAAAAUUAUAAAAAUUAAUAUAAAAUUAUAAUAAUGAUAGAGCCACAAACUCUUGUACAAAUUUAUUUUAUACAAACUCAUGUGGCAUGAUAAGAUUGGUUGAAUUAAAUAUUACUUGGCCCACAUGAUUUGUUUUUAUUAUUUUAUAUUUUUAUUCAACCAAUAAAUUAAUACCACGUCAGUUUGUACAAAAUAAAUUUAUACAAAAAUUUGUGACUCGAUCAUCACUCAUAAAAUUAAUACCCGGUAAAGACUGUAGAGAGACAAGUGCCCCCAACAGAAUCAAGUGAAUAUGCCCCACAAAGAUCACAUGAUCAUUUCUGUUCUUUUUCUUUUUGAUAAUUUUAUCUGUGGUUUCAACUUUUAUGCUUUAUUGUCGUAUCCCGUUGAGGGCUCCGCUGCACCCAUUACAACUUACCCCUAAAUUGCCUCUUACUAACUAAACCGUUAGAUUUUAUGGAAGCACGUUCAAUGUUGAAUUUUAAUUAUGUCAUCGAAUUUCGUUUAGCUCCUUAAACUCCAUUUUAUUUGUAAUUUCUUCAUAAAAUAUUCAAAGCUUCAUCAAGCUCCUGAUGGACCAUCAUGGCUAGGGGUGCAUUAGAGCCGAACUGAAAUAUGUUAGUUCAGUUCAGUUUGGUCAGUUUAAAUCGAAUGGUUUAGAAUAUAUAAACUGAUCAAUUUUAAUUUUGAAUUGAACCGAACCGAAAAUCAAUUGGUUCACUAUUAGUAUUUUUGUAUAAACAAGAAUGAUUAGUGAUUAUAAUUAAAUUGGACUAAAAAAAAUUCAAACUAAGGUGAAAAAUAUCAAAUCUUAGACAAUAUAAAAAAAAAUAUUAAAUUUUUUUAACCGAAACGAACCGAAUUAUUUUGACUCAGUUUGGUUCAUAAUUUUUUAAACCAAACUGAUUUAUUCCCACCCCCUAAUCGUGGCUCUCUAUCUUUAGUCAUUCACCCUUGAGUUUGAUGCCAAUUGUUGGGUUUCAAAUGAUUAUACACUCAAAUGGAACCCUCAUAACAAAAAACUAACAGAAACAAUAAGAACACGAUGUUAAAAUCUUAAAUCAAUCGCAAAAAAGCACCCAAAACAGAUCGAUUAGGAACAGUUAAGAACAAAAGAUUUGAUGGUUCAAAAUCAUAAUGUGACCUACGUACUUUCAUCCAAGAAUCAUACUAAUUGCUUUACUAGUUGUCAAACUCAAGAUCACAAGAUUGUUUAUCACUCUACAUAAAAAUUUUUUUUAGAAGAAAUACUCCCCAAUUUUUCUCUUAAUAGUUAUGAAUCAACACCCCUAGGAAGCCUGUUGAUUUACUUUUCCUUAUUUCCUAUGAUCGGUUGCUGCAACUUAAUCCUUGCCAAGCUCCAACAUAGUCCAAACACUUUUAACGGUACAGGCAUAGUGCACCUUCAGAAACUUUACAGCUCCUCUUAAAACCUCAGGCAUCGUAAGCACAUUAAGCAGCCGACAACACUCUUCUUCAUUUCUUCAUUGUCAAUUUCCUUCUUGGAACAUUGCUCCAUUGAGAGUCUGCUAGAAUUGCUCCAAUUAUUAUUAUUAUUUAAAAAAAAAAGAAAACCCUGCAAUAAGAGUAUAAGACUAAGCAACGGUCCUUUUUUUUUCCCCAUUCUUGAACCUAAAGUAUUUGAGUAUGCAAAUUAAUAAAUAAAUUCAUUUAUUUUUAUUAAAAUUUUGUAAAAUUAUAAUUUUUAAUAAAAAUAAUUAUUAAAAUUUUGUAAAAUCUAAAUUUAGAAAAAUUCAGUUGGGCACCUCUAUUUGAGAUUUAUUUUUUAUUAAAUUUAGGGAUAUUUUUAUAAUUAUAAUUUUUAAUUUUAAAAGUUUUUAUAAGAUAAAAUAGUCUUUUAAUUUAUUUAGGGGGUAAAAUUGGUGUUUUAUUAAAAUUAUUUAAUUGUGUUAAUGCAAAAGUGGCUAUUUGAUACAAAUGUGAAAAGAAAGGUGGUGCAAAAUAUAUGUUAAAAUUUUAUAUUGGUUGGAUGAACAUAAGCUAAAAUAAAGGUGGUGCAAUGAUAAUUUCCCUAUCCUAAAACUUAAUUGACUUAAUUCUUACGGUGCAAGGAAGAGGUUUCCAAGUUUAAAUCUAAAGGCUUGUAUUUAAUUUGGGGUUGGGAAAGCACUGAGAAAUAAAUGUAACUAAGGAAAAAAAAAAAGUCACGCAGUCCAAAUAAGUAGAUAUAUUUAAUAUGAGGUGGGGAUGGGUGAACUGUAAUUCAGAAAAAAAUAAAAUAAAAUUUUAUAUAAAGUUGAGGGUGUGUUUUAAUGGUUUCUUAUGCUGCGUUUAUUUUUUGGACUAGAGUGAGAAUUCUAAAAAGUGAGAAUCCUAUGAUUAGGUGUGUGGAGUGGGAGUGGGAGUAUGGUAUUUACUUAGACUAAAUAAAAGUAUGGAUUGUCAAUCAGAAUCUCAAUUAUUUGUUACUUUGUCUUGGAUUGAGAGUAAAUUAUUUUAAAUUACAAUUUUAUCCUUAUGUAAAGAAUUAUAAUUUGUAAUUAAAAAAUUAAUAAAAAUAUAUUGGAAAAUAAAAUAAAUAUUUUAUUAUAUUUAUAAAAUAAUAAUAAUUAAUAAAAUUCUUAAUUAUGUAAAUCAUAAUUUUUUAUUAAUUUAAAUUUAAAUUAUGUGAAUAAAAUUAUUAAUAAUAGCAACACAAAUGAAACAUUAUUAUUAAUAAUAUAGUAUAAAAUUAAUAUUUUUUUAGAAUAAAAUAUUUAUUAUUAUUAAAUAAAUAAAUAAUAUUUAUUAAAAUUAAUGUUUAAUAUUAUUAAUUUAAAUAUAAUAUUUAUUUAUUUUUAUUUUAUUUUAUUAAAUUUAAUAAAAUAAAUAUGUUAUAAUUAUUAUUUUUAAUAAAUAUGAUAUUAUUUAUUUUAUUAAAUAUUAUUUAUUUAUUUUAAUUAUGAGGGUAAAAAUGGAAGAGGGGGAGUGGAUUCCCACUCCCACCUCCCCCCAUGGGAGUGGGAAUCCCACUCUCCCCUUAAAAAUGGUAAGUAAAUAUUAGAAUGGGAAGAAUCUACACUCUACACUUUCUAGAAAAUAAACACUACCUUUAUUUAAAUCGAUUUGUUGGAUAUUUAGCUAAAAUGAGAGUAGCUCUCUAAUAAUUAUUGCAUUAUUACAAACAUAUCCAACGGUUAUAAUAGCGCGCUGAAUCAAUGCUUCAGAAGGAUGACAGUCUGAGUGAAAAGGAAAUAAACGCUUUCAAUUGAAUUACUACCACUACACUCCAAUACUCUAUUAUUGUUUGUGUGCUUGCUUGUGGACCUUUUUACUUCUUACUAUCAUUAUUGAAUUCCAUUUCCAAAUUUUCAGCAUACUUUUGCUUUCUUUCAGUAUCUUCAGUUUCUCUUUUGCUUGCUAUCAAUUCAGUUUUCUUCUUGUGAAGAUCGAACGGAACCAUGGUUGCUGUGGGAGAGAUCUUACUCAACGCCUUCUUUCAGGUGUUGUUUGACAGGUUGGCUUCCCGUGAUUUGCUCAGCUUUGUCCGUCAACUUGGAGGCGGGGACGAUUCCGAGCUCAAGAAGUGGGAAAGAAAGCUGAAGAUGAUUCAGGCGGUGCUCAACGAUGCAGAGGAGAAGCAACUGACCGACGAGGCCGUGAAGAUGUGGCUGGACGAUCUCCAAGACUUGGCUUAUGACGCUGAGGACAUUCUUGAGGAGUUUGCUACUCAAGCUUUGGAAAGCAAGUUGAUGGCGAAAAAUCAGGAUCGCAUUGGCCAGGUUCUUAGUUUCAUACCGGCUAGUUUGAAUCCGAAUGCUAUUAUGUCCAAUUAUAGCAUGGGAUCCAAGAUUAAAGAUAUUACUAGCCGGUUGGAGCAACUCUGCCAAGAUAGAAUUGAACUUGGGCUGCAACGGAUUGCUGGAGGGGCAUCAUCAACUACUUCUGCUGCACAUCAGAGGCGAGACAGUUCGAGUGUCCCAACAGAACGUGAAGUAUUUGGAAGAGAAGAAGAUAAGGCCAAAAUUCUUGAUAUGGUAUUGACCGAUACCCCAAGUGAUCGUGCCAACUUUGUUGUAAUACCCAUUGUUGGCAUGGGCGGGAUAGGAAAAACAACUCUUGCCCGGGAGGUCUACAAUGACAAGGCCGUUGAAGAUUCCAAGUUUGAUGUAAAAGCAUGGGUUUGUGUCUCUGAUGUCUUUGAUAUUUUGGGCAUCUCAAAGGCACUUCUCCAGUCAAUCACCUCCGCAGCUAGUGAUCUCAAGACUUUAAAUGAGGUGCAGGUUCAACUGAAAAAAGCAGUUGACGGAAAAAGAUUCUUGCUGGUCUUAGAUGAUGUUUGGAACGAGAACUACAACUUGUGGGAAGACUUAAAAGCUCCGUUCCUGGAUGCUGCACCAAACAGCAAGAUGAUCGUCACCACACGCAAUUCAAGUGUUGCAUCAACAAUGAGACCCAUUGAACAUUUCAAUCUCAAGAGUCUGUUGGAUGACGAUUGCUGGUCCAUUUUUAUAAAGCAUGCAGUUGAAGGUGGAGAUCUUAACGAGGAUCAAAUUUCAGAAUCAUUCCGCAAGAAAGUUGUUGGCAAGUGUGGAGGCUUGCCUCUGGCAGCAAAAACUCUCGGGGGCCUUCUGCGUACGACGAGGCAUGAUGGGUGGGAUGGUAUAUUGGAUAGCAAAAUAUGGGAAUUACAUCAACAUAGCAGCAUUCUCCCUGUGUUAAGAUUGAGUUACCAUCAUCUUCCGUCUCAUUUGAAAAGAUGUUUUGCUUUUUGUGCCAUCUUUCCAAAAGAUUAUGAAUUCACUGAGAAGGAGCUGACUUUCUUAUGGAUGGCUGGAGGUAUUAUUCGACAGUCAAGAAACAAUGAGCAGCUGGAAGAUUUGGGCAGCAAGUGCUUUGGUGAUCUAGUGUCAAGGUCAAUUUUUCAACAAACAGCAAUCUCUGAUAGUUCUAAAUUUGUAAUGCACGACCUUAUCCAUGAUCUUGCUGAAUUGGUCUCUGGAGGAACCAUAUUUAGGUCAGAGGAGGCCAAUACUCUAUCAAGAAGAUUUGAAAGGGUUCGCCAUUCUUCCUAUACCCGUGAUUGGUAUGAUGGUAAAAAUAAGUUCGAGGUUUUCAAUGAAAUUGAACAUCUACGAACAUUCUUGCCGUUAAGAGGUAACUAUUGUACUAGUUACAUAACUCGACCGAUUCUAUCUGAUAUGCUGCCAAAGUUCAAAAGGUUGAGAACGCUAUCUUUACAAGGAUACUGUAUUGGUGAGUUACCAAUUCCAUUUGAAGAUUUGAGACUUUUAAGGUUCCUCAACCUUGCUGACACUGACAUAAGAAGUUUACCUGACUCAACAUGCAAAUUGCUGAACUUGGAAAUUCUGAUAUUAAGAAAUUGUUCCCGUUUGAUAAAGCUUCCGCAGAAAAUGAGGAAUUUGAUCAAUUUAUGCCAUCUGGAUAUAAGAGGUGCGAAGUUGCUGAAGGAGAUGCCAGUCGGAAUGAAAGAGCUGAAGAAGCUUCAAACAUUGUCCAAUUUUAUUGUAGGCAAGGGUGAAUCCGCAUCUGGUUUGGAAGAUUUAAAAAGUUUAAACCUUCUUUGUGAUGAACUUUGCAUUGCUGGAUUAGAGAAUGUGAAUAAUCCACAGAAUGCAAGAGAAGCCGCAUUAUGUGAGAAGCACAAUCUUGAAGCAUUGACUCUAACAUGGUGGCCUCAAUUUGACAGUCCUCGAGGUGUAGUAGUGGAAGAGAAUGUACUUGACGUUUUGCAGCCUCAUAAAUGUAUAAAAAAGGUGGCAAUCAGGAACUAUGGUGGUGCAAGAUUUCCACCUUGGAUAGGAGAUACUUUAUUCUCCAAGAUAGAGCUCCUUGAAUUGAAGAACUGUGACAAUUGUGUGUCUUUGCCAUCGCUUGGCCUAUUGAGUUCACUUAAACACCUUGCUGUUAAAGGGCUGAAGAAACUAAAAAGCAUAGAGUCUGAGGUUUAUGGGGAGGGUUUGUCAAUGCCUUUUCCAUCGUUGGAGGUUCUAAGUUUUGAGAAUUUGCCUGAAUGGGAGUAUUGGGACACCAAUAUCAGAGGAAAUGUGCUCGUUGAAAUGUUUCCUCGUCUCCAUAAACUUUCCAUUGUGGAAUGUCCAAAACUCUCUGGGGAACUGCCUGAGCUCCUGCCCUCCUUGGAGACACUUGUUGUUAUUAAAUGUGAAAAUUUGGUAGUUCCAUUGUCUCGCUAUCCGAUGCUCUGCAGAUUAGAAGUUGAUGAGUGCAAGGAACUAGCGUGCGGGACUCCAAUUGAUUUCAAGUUGAUAAAGUCUGUGACUAUUUCAAAUAGUUCCUUAGACAUGGAUGGAUGCAAGGGGAUGCUAUACGAUGGUCCAGCUAGCUCUUCACUGCCAAAGCCCACGAUUACUACAAAUGUUUUGGAGUUUGGAAAAUUAUUGAAGCCUGGAUUUCAGAUAUUAGAAACGUUGGUAAUUGGCAAUUCUGAACAGCUCAAGUCAUGGAGGCAGCAUGGGGAUUUUCUAGAAGAAUAUAUGGUCGCUCGCCAAAGGUUUAAGAAACCAGUACAAGGGCUGAAUAUGCUCGCUUCCCCUGAAGAGGUAACAAUUGAAGAAAGUUGCGUACGUCUUGUUUUGUUUCCAGAGAUCAAUUUCUUUCCCAGAAAUCUGCGCUCUCUUCUAAUUAACAACAACACUGCUUUCAAAUCCUUACCCGAGGAAAUGAUGGAAAACAAUUCACAACUCGAAAGGUUGUAUAUCAGAGAUUGCGACUCUCUAACAUUCAUCGCAAGACGGAGGCUACCAGCAUCUCUUAAAAGGCUUGAGAUAGAAAAUUGUGAGAAAUUGCAACGUCUGUUCGAUGAUGAAGAGGAUGCUUCUUCUUCUUCUUCUCCUUCAUCCUCGUCUUCCCCAGUGAUGCUGCAACGCCUGAAUAUAAAGAACUGCCCAGAGCUCACCAGUUUAUCAUCGGGUGUCCAAUUCCUUGAGGCGCUUGAAGGCCUCGAGAUAUGGGAUUGUCCAAAGCUGGAGUCAAUACCGGAUGGCCUGCACAAUCUUAAAUGUUUACAGAGCAUUCAUAUAGAUGGAUGUCCAAGUCUUGUUUCCUUGCCCAAUGACAUGCACAAACUGAACUCUCUUCGAGAUUUAAACAUACGGGCGUGUCCAAUAUCGUUUCCAGAAGAAGGUUGUCCUACCAAUCUAACAUCACUUACACUUGGAUAUGUCGAAAUGUAUAAGACACUCGUCCAGUGGGGGUUGCACAGGCUUACCUCUCUUAGAAGCCUCGACAUUUUUGGAUGUGAUGAUGAAGCAGAGUGUUUUCCAGACGAGGAGAUAGGAAUGACGCUGCCCACCUCUCUCACUCAUCUGCACCUUUUUGAUUUCGAAAAAUUGAGAUCUCUGUCUUCGACGGGUUUUCAGAGCCUCACCUCUCUUCAAUCUUUGGAUAUCUGGUUUUGCCCAAAUCUCACAUCAUUCCCAAAGGUGGGCUUUCCAUCCUCACUUGUGGAAUUACGCAUUAGAGAUUGUCCAAAGCUUAAAAAAGCGUGCAAAAGAGAUCAAGGAAAAGAGUGGCCCAAAAUUGCUCACAUCCCUUGCGUUGAGAUAGACGAUAAAUUCAUAUACCAUCCAAAAUCAGAGGUGUAGAGUGUAUUAUUAAGGUCAGUUGAUUUAUGUUAUCCACCAUAACAAGCUCCUCCUUUUUUUUUAAAUAAUAAUUUUGCAGUCACUCGCGUGAUUCCGUUUUCACAAGUCAGAUUGUAUGUUGAGGCUAUUUGCCUUUUAAUCGCAGAUUAAAUUAUAACACUUAUCUUAAAAUUUAAUACCAUAGACAGAUAGACGAUUUUUUAAUCCAAAGUUUUUUUAUUCACUUCAGUUAGCAUUUUUUUUUUCCCCAAAUCAUGCAAGCCGAGAGUUUCAAUCAACAGAAUUUUAUUCACUCAUUGACUUUUCAACUGCUGUGGUUAUUUAUGGGUGAAAGAUAAAUUUCUUAGAUGGUAGAUAUAUCGACAUUUUAGAUUUCAGAUAUUUGUCACCAAUUUCAUUCCUUUUUUUAAAAUUUUUUUUAAGCAAGUUUGACUAAUUUUAACCAGAAUUGGAGUAUAAUAUUUUGGAGCAAGCAUACUUGAAAUUUCUGUCUUCAAUUUUUUUGAUGCUUUUUUAAUUUUGAUCUAGUAAAAAUACAUAGCCUUCACCGGCAGGAUUCUAGUCUUGGCUUUCACCUCUCUAACUCAUCUGUCCCUAUUGGGAUUCCAGAAAUUUAAAUUUCUGUCUUCAAUGGGUUUUCAAAGCCUCACCUCUCUUCGAUUUUUGUGGAUUGGGAAUUGCACAAAUCUCACAUCAUUUCCCGAGGUCGAGGAAAAGAGCGGCCCAAACUAUCAGCGGUGUUGAUUCUCUUAUUAAGGUCAGCUGAUUUCUAUUAUCCACUCUGACAAUCUCCUAUUAGUGUUUUUUUUUUAAAAAAUUUGCAGUUCUGUAUAAUUGAAAUGCCACUCACUUGUUUCCUUCUUCACAGGUCAGAUAGUAUGUUAAAGCUAUUAGUGCUGCCUCAUAGGUUGAUUACUCACAGAUGAAAUCAUAACUUUUAUCUUAAAAUUUAAUAGCAUACACAGAUAGACGAUUUUUAGUCCAAAGUUUUUUUUAUUCACUUCAAUCAAAAUUUUAGAUUGCAGAUUUUUGUCGAGUAUUUUCAUUCCAAUUUUUUCAUUUUUUAUUUUAAACCAGAAUUGGAGUAUAAAAUUUUGGAGCGCGCAUACUCUGAUGCAUGCAAUUAACUGUUUUUAAUCGUUGGAUUUUGAAAUUAAUGAUGGUAAGAUGUGUACUUAUUCUUUCUUCCAACAACCUUGCCUUCUUUCUUCGGUCGCAUAUCUAAUGAAUAUUUCUCUGUUUAGUUAAGGAUGAAUGCUUGGAGUGGGGUACUUGGUAACAUUUCUGCCUUAGAUGAAUCCUUGAAGAAAUGCCCGCAGUUCCUGAGACCAAAUACAGGUCUGAUUCAAAACAGCACCUUUCCCAGAAAAUAUGAUCCAAGGCAAAGUCAUGUUCUGAUAAUGUUUCCUUAAGUACUAAGUUGCAAGGAAACUUGAUUCAUUAACUACAGUUUUUUAUUUUUAGGACCUUGUAUCUGAAAGGUUCAGUGUUUUUUUUUUUCAAAUUUAUUGUUCAGAUCUCAGAGGAGUAUAUGGUUUAGAUUACAAAACACCCAUGAUUAAUUUCAUUUUUUUUUUAAUUUCAGGGAGAAGAAGUGGUCAGUUUCAAUCCGGAAUUGGAAUAUGGCAAUUUGGUUCAAGCAAACACACCUGGUCACUUGGUCAGUGGUCACUUGGUCAGCGAACCUGAACUUUACGCAGUUUUUUCAACUCAGUGAUUUUUGGAACGCAUAUUGGUGUAAGGAAAUCAAAAGAAAUUUAUGCAUUGUCAAAUUCUGAUAUUUGCUAUAUAUUAUACAUUCUAAAGUUUCUCCAGUUUGUUCUCAGAUUACCAUCAUUUUUUGCUUUCACCAACCAAACAAAAACAAAAUGAGUGGCUUUCCGGUGGAUAUUUAAUCGGAGGUAUGACUGGAUUUUUUUCACUUCUGUAAAUCUUGCAUUUUAAACUGGCAAAUUUAACUUUAAUUUUAAUAGGACUUUGUUGGUACCUUGUGUUCCAGAAACUAGAAAGAUGUGUAGUUUUCAGAUAAAGGGGCUUGUAAAUUCUCUAGUAAGAAUCCAAUAAUUUGCUUUUGCACGUUCAUUUUAUUUGUGGAUCCUUGCAUCUGAAUUUGAUCAAUCCAAAAGGAAUUGCUUUUAGACAGAAGAAGAAUAGCAGUACCUAGCCUAUGACAUAGUAUAUGGACCUGCAAACCUGAAACUAUUAGUUUGAGGUAAAAAAUUCAUGACCCUCACAUGUUAACUUCUUCUAGUUACUUUCAUGAAAAACACAUUUAAGAAAUUUGCAAUUUUUUGUUAGUUUCGUAUCCGAUGUUGUUUUCUGUUUUAGCAUUUGUAGAAUCUACUGUAUUAUAUUUUGGCAGUUGCAGUAUCUGAGGUAUGUUUUGCAUUUAACUUGCUUUGUUUGUUUUGCUUGUGACUUAAGAACACCAAUAUUUGCCAGAGAUUUAGAGAAGCAUAUCAAGAUGCUUGGCAAACUUGACAAACUUCAAGAUCCUCCAUUCUUCACAACGCAAAACUUGUGAGUACACCUAUGCCCGCAAUUAUUGUGAAAUGCUUGCAAUUUUGAUGCACUGAAAUGGUUUGUUGAUGCAAAGGUUUAAACUUUUAAGAUUCACCCUGCAGGGUAGUUGGAUGCUGUAUAAUCGAAAAGCGACCAACAUCAAGAAUUAUGACUCCAAGACCGGGUUUGCAUUAAUUCAAUCAGCUGAAAUCAUGAUGCAAAUGACACUAUCAGCUGGACUUAGAGACCAGUCAGAUCAAUCAUCCUUUUAUCAACAGUUAAUGUCAUGAUGGUGGCUAUCGGAGGAAACAAAGGAUGUGUCGGAAUCAAUAUGAACAGUGAGAAGAAUGAGAGGAGCUUUGAUUACAAGUAGGCUCAAUGAACUCAUGCUGGU
RNAcentral lists this long non-coding RNA (15068 nucleotides) under Citrus maxima (pomelo). RNAcentral's name for it is "long non-coding RNA (CMAX_LNC000713)". Lineage: Eukaryota; Viridiplantae; Streptophyta; Magnoliopsida; Sapindales; Rutaceae. The record is from RNAcentral.